Molecule: small nucleolar RNA, 82 nt
Organism: Pongo abelii (Sumatran orangutan)
Lineage: Eukaryota; Metazoa; Chordata; Mammalia; Primates; Hominidae
Source: Ensembl
AGCUUUCAAUGUUUUAUUUUUCAUUUCUACGGAAAAGAGGUGAAGUGGACAGAAGGGAUGUCUGAAAUUCUAUCCUGAGGCU